This 827-nucleotide ribosomal RNA is filed under the name uncultured bacterium. RNAcentral describes it as "bacterial SSU rRNA". It matches the Rfam family "Bacterial small subunit ribosomal RNA", at positions 28 to 870 of the family's 1533-position model. The record is from RNAcentral.
GAUGAACGCUAGCGGCAGGCCUAAUACAUGCAAGUCGAACGGUCAGCAAUGACAGUGGCGCACGGGUGCGUAACGCGUAUGCAACUUACCCAACAGUGGGGAAUAGCCCGGGGAAACCCGGAUUAAUACCGCAUAAGAAGAGUGAAUGGCAUCAUUUACUUUUGAAACAUUUAUGGCUGAUGGAUGGGCAUGCGUAAGAUUAGCUAGUUGGCGGUGUAAGGGACCACCAAGGCGAUGAUCUUUAGGGGUUCUGAGAGGAAGAUCCCCCACACUGGUACUGAGAUACGGACCAGACUCCUACGGGAGGCAGCAGUAGGGAAUAUUGGGCAAUGCCCGCAAGGGUGACCCAGCCAUGCCGCGUGCAGGAAGAAGGCCUUCUGGGUUGUAAACUGCUUUUGGAAGGGAACAAAACGGGCCUGCGGGCCAACUUGAGUGUACCUUCAGAAUAAGCACCGGCUAACUCCGUGCCAGCAGCCGCGGUAAUACGGAGGGUGCAAGCGUUGUCCGGAUUUAUUGGGUUUAAAGGGUGCGUAGGCGGCCUAUUAAGUCAGGGGUGAAAGACUAUUGCUUAACAAUGGCAGUGCCUUUGAUACUGAUAGGCUUGAGUACAGUUGAGGCAGAUGGAACGGGUGGUGUAGCGGUGAAAUGCAUAGAUACCAUCCAGAACACCGAUUGCGAAGGCAGUCUGCUAACCUGUAACUGACGCUGAGGCACGAAAGCGUGGGGAUCGAACAGGAUUAGAUACCCUGGUAGUCCACGCCGUAAACGAUGAUGACUCGAUGUUAGGGAUAUACUCUUAGCGUCCAAGCGAAAGCGUUAAGUCAUCC